Long non-coding RNA from Coffea eugenioides, 196 nucleotides. RefSeq lists it as uncharacterized. The transcript has 2 exons. NCBI's taxonomy places the organism in Eukaryota, Viridiplantae, Streptophyta, Magnoliopsida, Gentianales, Rubiaceae. The record is from RefSeq and is a predicted model, not a curated record.
UUAUCUUAUUCAUUUUUAGCUUUCAUUUAUUUUAUUUAUUUAAAAUUUGAUGAUUAUUUGGGAGGCAUUUAAAGGCCAAAUUAUAAUAGAUAGGUGUCCAAGAAAUGUAUUCAGUGAAGCCAUGUAAUUAGUUAGAUAGAUUUUAUUUUCAUCGAAAUUGUAAUUAGUUAGAUAAAUGUAACAGAUAGAUUUAUUA